RNAcentral lists this long non-coding RNA (708 nucleotides) under Mytilus galloprovincialis (Mediterranean mussel). Lineage: Eukaryota; Metazoa; Mollusca; Bivalvia; Mytilida; Mytilidae. The record is from RNAcentral.
GGCGUCACGAUACAUAAAACUAUUAACUGGAACACUCCACAUAGAGAGUAUAGCUAAAAAGGCUAAUUCAACCAGGGCCUUCAUCCAAAGAAAUCUUCAGCACUGUCCCCAACAAACAAAGGCUGUAUGCUAUACAACGCUAGUAAGACCACUGCUUGAGUAUGCAUGCUCAGUCUGGGACCCGUUCACUAACCUUAACAUUCAGAAAUUAGAAAGUGUGCAAAGAAGAUCAGCCCGGUUUGUAUUGAACAACUACCAACAAACCAGCAGUGUAACAUCAAUGCUAAAAACUCUACAGUGGCAACCACUAGCCGAGAGGAGGGCCAACUGCAAAGCAGUAAUGAUGUACAGGAUAGUAAAUGGCCUCGUAGCAAUACCAACGCUAGAGCUACACUCUACAUCAUCCGUAGCAAGAGGACACACAACACGAUUUCUUGUACCUUAUGCCAGAACUUCAACCUACAGGCAUUCCUUCUUCCCAGACAGCAUAAGGAUAUGGAACAGCCUCCCACAACCUUUGGUGGACAGUACCUCACUAGAUGCUUUCAAGCAGGGGGUACUGAGCUGCAGUAUUCCUUAAUCGCACCAUCAGACUGUUUUUAACUUGCACCUGUAAAUAUUUUCUUGCACCUUUGUUGUCACACCCAGCAUGGGCAAUAGUGCGAUAAUACUCAAUUAGAGGACUGCACUGUAUUGGAAGAAGAAGAA